AUGACAGUUUACUGUCUUCAAACUGAAAGCUACGCAGACGCGCCCGCUGAACACCAGUGUGUCUGAAUGAUCGGCUGAAAAGUGCUCUGUGUAACGCUGAAGUGACAGCAGGUAUGUGAGCUGGGUCCUCAUCAAAUCCAACUCCAAACUGUGCAAAAGCAAGUGCAGAAGACACGAAAAGAAGGACUUCUGUUGCAGGACCCGGAAGCUUCUUUUUUGUUUUGUCACAUGGCUUACCGAGAUAUUUCAAUAACAAAAAAUGGCGACAAUCACGUUGUUCAGUGUUGUUUUGCUGCGUCAUUAAAAUAUUCACGUAAACACGGACAAGAAACAGAAAAUUGCGGGCUUGCUGGUUUUGCAAUAAUGUCACCCUGCAAAAUGACUCCGACUUCUCUGACUUCAUUUGUGAAGACUACUGAAACAAGUGCCUCUCAUUCAUCAGCUGGGGAGGAUUCAAGCGGAGACUUGAUGUGACAGGCCGCCCUGGUUCAGUUAUCACAGUGCUGAUGCUGUCCAUAGUAAAGGUACAGUACUGUGAUAACUGAAGGAUGGCGGCCAUCUUGUCCUCAAAGCAUCAUUCCAGAAAAUAAUUAUUCUUAUUACUUUUGUAUGUGCUAAAUAAUGUGUGUAUUUUUUUUUUACCAUCCAUGUGUCGCGUACAAAGUAUAAUUCGCCUUCAAAGUCAUGAAAACAUUUUCUUAUGAAAACUACCAAAAGUGAAUUAUAACUUUUGCAGAAGCUAACUGACUCCAAAGACACCAUAUAUGGGCAUUCCUCCUUGACAUUCUGAAAAUAAGGAAGGGGUAAGUUUGAACAAAACAAAGAAUCAACCGCUACACAAGACUGCACAUUAAUAUUUAAGAAUUAAUUUGUUUUUGCAGAUUUUGUUGGAUAAUGAGCACGGAAUCAGCAAACAGGAUUCGUUUUAUUAUUUUGUUACUGUGAAAUUUAGUAUGUAUGCAUACACUCUUUAAAAUGGAAAACAGACAUAUUUCCAAUUCCUGACUACUGGGAUGACGUAUUUUUGAAGAGACUGAACAAGAAAAAAUGUAAAUAAAAUUUUGUUGGGGGAUGGGAGUUCCUUUAUGCCAACUGGAACAUAAAAGACCUUUCGGGUUUCAUUUUCAAAUAAAUUAAAUUCUACAAAUGA
Molecule: long non-coding RNA, 1150 nt
Organism: Brienomyrus brachyistius
Lineage: Eukaryota; Metazoa; Chordata; Actinopteri; Osteoglossiformes; Mormyridae
Exons: 2
Source: RefSeq, a predicted model, not a curated record